Long non-coding RNA from Canis lupus familiaris (dog), 1393 nucleotides. RefSeq lists it as uncharacterized. The record is from RefSeq and is a predicted model, not a curated record. Lineage: Eukaryota; Metazoa; Chordata; Mammalia; Carnivora; Canidae. The transcript has 4 exons.
AAGAAGGGAAAAAAAAAAAAAAAAACCCGGGUGGAGGGGGGGGUGGGGGGAAGCGGUGAGUGGGAACAACCACCGCGAAAUGACAGCGAUUUACAGCACAAACCUGCAGCGCCCUGUCCCCUGCCCCACCUGCUGCCAACGUGGGCAGCGCGAGGCCCCCUUCCCAAUGUGACAGUGACAGCUCUGGCGGCCUGAAAAGUAGUAAUACAACAGCAAGGCAGAGGGACCUCGCUGGGCGGUGGGGAUGCAGGCAGAAGCUCCUGGAGGGUGAGGACUGCAUUUCAUCUCUGCCUCCCACCCCUCACUACCCAGCACCAGCCUAUAGUUUAAUACAGAGCACAUUCUACAGUCAAUGAUGAAGUAACUACUGCCAUGUGGUGGGUGAAAGGCCUGCAGACCCUCCUAAAGCCCCUUUCCUGCGGCAGAACCAACAAAAGUAGUAGUAGAAGAGCUCAGAGAGCAGGAGCAGUCUAGGGACUCCUGGAGCUUGUGGAGCCGGACCUCCAGAGGAGCAAAAACCAUAGCCAGGAGUAAACAUGGAUUGAGUUGAGCUGCUCUUCCGACCCCGAAGAGGACCAGAAGAAAAGCAGUAUUGCUGGGAUGUGUCAGCCGAGGAGCUACCUUACUGGAAUGACUGUUGUCCCCACUUUCCUUUACGCAAUGAAGAAUUAACUGUUCAGGUACAGCCCUCUGCCUCCUACAAUAUAUCUUAUGACACAGAAGGAGAAUUUUAAUAAGACUUCCAAGGGGUCUGCUGCCAUUUUUUAGAGGAGGGAAGGUGUCCUGCAAAGGAAGUGCAUGGAAACUCUCAAGAGGAAGCUGUUGAAAACACCCCCAGUGAGAGGAACGGGUGUCAUCCCAUUUUAUUGUCUACCUGUCACCACAGCCCUUGCAUGAUUCUGACAGGCUGCUCUUUUCUCUUGUAGCCAUUGCUGCUUUAUGUCAUUUUCUUGGUUGAACAUCUUUAUUUCUGACUUGUUACAAACCAUUAACUAGUUUCCAGGUUUCAGUGUCCUGGAUACUUUUGACUAGUAAGUCAUUUGGCAUAACAAGGUUUCCCUUUAUCUUCUUGUGAAAGAAAAUCUCUACAUGAAAUGAUCAAUGUUCCAAUUUUUAUGAAUCCUAGCAGAUAGGAAGUGCCUGUCAUCGGAUGCAAGGCAUCUUUUCUGAAAGCAUAUUCUACUUCAUAUAAUGGAACUUGACAGACACACUAGGUAACCGUUAUGCUGUUUGCAGGGAAGCUUUGAACAAUUCAGGGGGGAAAGCAGAGAACUUUACAAAUAUAUUUAACUUGUAAUGGUUGCAAAUAAACACAAUACUGUUUUUAACCAGAUUUCGUGGAUGAAAUGUUUUUAAAUGUAAACUUCUUUGAAUAUAUUUUUUUAAAAUUCAG